Molecule: ribosomal RNA, 468 nt
Filed under: uncultured bacterium
Lineage: Bacteria
Description: partial 16S ribosomal RNA
Rfam family: Bacterial small subunit ribosomal RNA
Source: RNAcentral
GACGAACGCUGGCGGCGUGCUUAACACAUGCAAGUCGAACGGAAAGGCCCUGCUUUUGUGGGGUGCUCGAGUGGCGAACGGGUGAGUAACACGUGAGUAACCUGCCCUUGACUUUGGGAUAACUUCAGGAAACUGGGGCUAAUACCGGAUAGGAGCUCCUGCUGCAUGGUGGGGGUUGGAAAGUUUCGGCGGUGGGGGAUGGACUCGCGGCUUAUCAGCUUGUUGGUGGGGUAGUGGCUUACCAAGGCUUUGACGGGUAGCCGGCCUGAGAGGGUGACCGGCCACAUGGGGACUGAGAUACGGCCCAGACUCCUACGGGAGGCAGCAGUGGGGAAUAUUGCACAAUGGGCUGAAGCCUGAUGCAGCAACGCCGCGUGCGGGAUGACGGCCUUCGGGUUGUAAACCGCUUUGGCCUGUGACGAAGCGUGAGUGACGGUAAUGGGUAAAGAAGCACCGGCUAACUACGUG